This 468-nucleotide ribosomal RNA is filed under the name uncultured bacterium. RNAcentral describes it as "partial 16S ribosomal RNA". It matches the Rfam family "Bacterial small subunit ribosomal RNA", at positions 28 to 507 of the family's 1533-position model. The record is from RNAcentral.
GACGAACGCUGGCGGCGUGCUUAACACAUGCAAGUCGAACGGAAAGGCCCUGCUUUUGUGGGGUGCUCGAGUGGCGAACGGGUGAGUAACACGUGAGUAACCUGCCCUUGACUUUGUGAUAACUUCAGGAAACUGGGGCUAAUACCGGAUAGGAGCUCCUGCUGCAUGGUGGGGGUUGGAAAGUUUCGGCGGUUGGGGAUGGACUCGCGGCUUAUCAGCUUGUUGGUGGGGUAGUGGCUUACCAAGGCUUUGACGGGUAGCCGGCCUGAGAGGGUGACCGGCCACAUUGGGACUGAGAUACGGCCCAGACUCCUACGGGAGGCAGCAGUGGGGAAUAUUGCACAAUGGGCGGAAGCCUGAUGCAGCAACGCCGCGUGCGGGAUGCCGGCUUUCGGGUUGUAAACCGCUUUCGCCUGUGACGAAGCGUGAGUGACGGUAAUGGGUAAAGAAGCACCGGCUAACUACGUG